RNAcentral lists this ribosomal RNA (592 nucleotides) under Diutina siamensis. RNAcentral's name for it is "partial large subunit ribosomal RNA". It matches the Rfam family "Eukaryotic large subunit ribosomal RNA", at positions 1 to 701 of the family's 3401-position model. The record is from RNAcentral. Lineage: Eukaryota; Fungi; Ascomycota; Pichiomycetes; Serinales; Debaryomycetaceae.
GCACCGCAGGCAAGAACAACGGGUGCAUAUUCCAAUAGCGGAGGAAAAGAAUUCCUCUGUUCCGUCAGAUAACGGCGAGUGAAGCGGCAAGAGCUCAAAUUUGAAAGCCCUCGGGCGUUGUAAUUUGGAGAGGCGGAUCUUGGGGCGGGUGGUGUCUAUGUCUGCUGGAACGCAGCGUCACAGAGGGUGAGAAUCCCGUGCGACACCGGCCUCAACCAGAUAAGACCGUCUCGAAGAGUCGAGUUGUUUGGGAAUGCAGCUCUAAGCGGGAGGUAUAUUUCUUCUAAAGCUAAAUAGUGGCGAGAGACCGAUAGCGAACAAGUACAGUGAUGGAAAGAUGAAAAGCACUUUGAAAAGAGAGUGAAACAGUACGUGAAAUUGUUGAAAGGGAAGGGUAUGCAAUCAGAGCAGCCAGCAUGAGUUUUGGCGGCGCGAGAAUGGCGCGGGAACGUAGCUUCGGUGUUAUAGCCCGCGCUGAUGGCGCCUGCCGGGACUGAGGGCCGCGGUUCUAGGAUGCUGGCAUAAUGAUUGUCUACCACCCGUCUUGAACACCGGACCAACCAAACUAUUCCCACCCAUAUUACCGCUGUUU